GUCCAAAAACUGCUUUGGGCCUGGCCUUCAAAUUGCUAGAGGAAGACUUACGAGAUUGAGGUGUGGUCCUAUGACCCUAAGGCAAAUUCUUGUUGGAUGACUAAUACCUAGCAGAGAGCUCUGCAUUGCUUAUCUUCAACAAAACUAUUGAAAACAAGCAUAUAGUACAAAAGAAAUAAAAUCUAAGAAAAAGAUGCAGAGGGGGCAAGUUGGUACCCAAUCUAAGGUCACAGACAAGGAUAAAAACAAAAGAAACCAAACAACCUAGCUAAUAAAUAAUUUUGAGGAUAAUACUGAUGCUAUCGAAGAAAUUUGAAGGCCUGCUAGAGA
RNAcentral lists this long non-coding RNA (330 nucleotides) under Elaeis guineensis (African oil palm). RNAcentral's name for it is "long non-coding RNA (EGUI_LNC032196)". Lineage: Eukaryota; Viridiplantae; Streptophyta; Magnoliopsida; Arecales; Arecaceae. The record is from RNAcentral.